CAGUAGCCGCGGUAAUACGAAGGGGGCUAGCGUUGCUCGGAAUCACUGGGCGUAAAGGGUGCGUAGGCGGGUCUUUAAGUCAGGGGUGAAAUCCUGGAGCUCAACUCCAGAACUGCCUUUGAUACUGAAGAUCUUGAGUUCGGGAGAGGUGAGUGGAACUGCGAGUGUAGAGGUGAAAUUCGUAGAUAUUCGCAAGAACACCAGUGGCGAAGGCGGCUCACUGGCCCGAUACUGACGCUGAGGCACGAAAGCGUGGGGAGCAAACAGGAUUAGAUACCCGCGUAGUCCCUGUCUCUUAUAC
Molecule: ribosomal RNA, 301 nt
Filed under: uncultured bacterium
Lineage: Bacteria
Description: partial 16S ribosomal RNA
Rfam family: Bacterial small subunit ribosomal RNA
Source: RNAcentral